AUCGGUUCCGGUCCGGUCCGGUCCGGUCCAACAAAAUCGGCAUUUUCCUUUUUCACUAAAGAAAAAUCAUACUCCGGACCGAUCAAUCCAAUUCAGUUCCCGGGCGUUCUAAUAAAACUACUCACACAUCCAUGCGCCACGUGCAAAAUAUUCACACUUCACUUGCGUGAAUAUCAAUCACAGUUUAUGUGUUUCACGCUUAAUUUUAAGCAUAAAAGCCAUGAACAAUUUGAUUAAAGGUUGUGCUUAGUUUAGGUUUUAUAGACAAUCUCUCUUCUAUGCUUUGAAUGUUUAGUCGAUAUUAGACUCUUUGAGGCUUGAAGUGCCUUGUUGUUUGCAAGUGAGGGGAGCAAGAGAGAGAGUGUGAGCACAAGGAACUCCUAGAGCCUUGUCUCACAUUGAGUAGAAAAUGAAACUAACAAGUAAGUUUUCUCUAUAAAUAAAGAGUAACAACAAAGCUUUGGUGGUCUCUUGGCCACAUAGAAGAUUGUUACCUCAAUUGCAAUUGUAAUUGCAAUAAGUUUCAUGUAUAAUAUUCAUAUAUUAUAUGUGUUUAUAUAUUAUAUGUAUAUAAAUUAUAUAUAAAAAAAAUUGGUCCGGUCCGGUCGGUCCGGUCGGUCCGGUUCCCACCUUGGAACCGGGAACCGGACCGCCGACCGUGGGAACCGCCCAAAACCGGCCGGUCCGGUCCGGUCCGGUCCGGUCC
Molecule: long non-coding RNA, 706 nt
Filed under: Eucalyptus grandis
Lineage: Eukaryota; Viridiplantae; Streptophyta; Magnoliopsida; Myrtales; Myrtaceae
Description: long non-coding RNA (EGRA_LNC007587)
Source: RNAcentral